CUGUAUUAAAUCACAAAUAUUAUUGAAAUGAGAUUGAUCUUCACUUGACCAAAGAGUGUGCACGUUUCAUAAGGUAUCAUUCGUCUAGUUUCUUCAUAGAAUUUAUUUUGUUUUCCUCUUGAUUCUGCACGUUUUGUGUUCUUUGCUGAAAUUGCAGCAGCUGUGUCCUCCGGUGGUUGCAGCGAUGACGUCUCCACUUCCGACAGCACUUAAUAUUCUGUCUUGGUGUCACACGCCAUUCUCUAAAACCAAUUUUCUUUGGUGGAAAGAUCAGUUUUUCACCGCUGUUAUGGCAAUGAUCUCUCAUAUGUUAUUGAUGAUGAAUUUGUUUCGCCUAUUCCCAAGAUCGUCGAGCUGCCAAAUCCGGAAUUUGUGACUUGGAUUAGAGCAAUAUUUUUGGUUCUUGGCGGGAUGAAAGCCACUAUCUCCCCACCGUUGUGUCCUUUGAUUCAGAAAGAAAGGCUUGCUCUCCCUCUGCCAGGAAGAAGUUGGAAGUAAAUCUUUCACCAGAGUCAAAACAAUACACAAGAAAUCUGAAAAAUCAGAUCCGCACAUUAAAGAAAACAAACUCAAUCGCAAUGACAGAUUACCUCAUCCAGAUGAAAUCAGUAGCGGACUCAUUAGCUGCUGCUGGGGAAUCGGUCACAGAGACCAAUCUUGUUGAUUUCAUCAUUGACGGAUUGGGGACAGAGUUUAACAAUUUUUUACAUAACCUCCAUUUUCAAUCUGACUUAUCAUUUGAUAAAUUUUUGGAAUAUUAAUAAAGGAAGAGUCAUUAUUAAAACGAUUUAAUAUUCCAAUACAAAGUGUUGACUCUAC
RNAcentral lists this long non-coding RNA (819 nucleotides) under Zostera marina. RNAcentral describes it as "long non-coding RNA (ZMAR_LNC000280)". The record is from RNAcentral. Lineage: Eukaryota; Viridiplantae; Streptophyta; Magnoliopsida; Alismatales; Zosteraceae.